UAAUACGUAGGUGGCGAGCGUUGUCCGGAAUUACUGGGCGUAAAGGGCGCGCAGGCGGGUUUUUAAGUCAGAUGUGUAAUCUACAGGCUCAACCUGUAGUUUGCAUCUGAUACUGGAAAUCUUGAGGGUAGGAGAGGACAGUGGAAUUCCUAGUGUAGCGGUGAAAUGCGUAGAUAUUAGGAGGAACACCAGUGGCGAAGGCGGCUGUCUGGCCUACAACUGACGCUGAGGCGCGAAAGCGUGGGUAGCGAACAGGAUUAGAUACCCUGGUAGUCCACGCCGUAAACGAUGGGUACUAGGUGUAGGAGGUAUCGACCCCUUCUGUGCCGGAGUUAACACAAUAAGUACCCCGCCUGGGGACUACGGCCGCAAGGCUAAAACUCAAAGGAAUUGACGGGGGCCCGCACAAGCGGUGGAGCAUGUGGUUUAAUUCGACGCAACGCGAAGAACCUUACCAGGGCUUGACAUCCUCUGAUGUCCAUAGAGAUAUGGAGUUCGAUCUUCGGAUUGACAGAGAGACAGGUGGUGCAUGGUUGUCGUCAGCUCGUGUCGUGAGAUGUUGGGUUAAGUCCCGCAACGAGCGCAACCCUUAUUCUUAGUUGCCAGCAUUAAGUUGGGCACUCUAAGGAGACUGCCGGUGACAAACCGGAGGAAGGUGGGGAUGACGUCAAAUCAUUAUGCCCUUUAUGUCCUGGGCUACACACGUGCUACAAUGGCCUGUACAGAGGGUAGCGAAGCUGUGAAGUGGAGCCAAUCCCAAAAAGCAGGUCUCAGUUCGGAUUGUAGGCUGCAACUCGCCUACAUGAAGUCGGAAUCGCUAGUAAUCGCGAAUCAGCAUGUCGCGGUGAAUACGUUCCCGGGCCUUGUACACACCGCCCGUCACACCACGAAAGUUGACAACACCCGAAGCCGGUGUACUAACCGUAAGGAAGAAGCCGUCGAAGGUGGGGCCGAUGAUUGGGGUG
RNAcentral lists this ribosomal RNA (965 nucleotides) under uncultured bacterium. Its description in RNAcentral is "bacterial SSU rRNA". It matches the Rfam family "Bacterial small subunit ribosomal RNA", at positions 521 to 1482 of the family's 1533-position model. The record is from RNAcentral.